GACGAACGCUGGCGGCGUGCUUAACACAUGCAAGUCGAACGCUGAAGCUCAGCUUUUGUUGGGUGGAUGAGUGGCGAACGGGUGAGUAACACGUGAGUAACCUGCCUCCUUCUUUGGGAUAACGCCCGGAAACGGGUGCUAAUACUGGAUAUUCACUGGUCUUCGCAUGGGGGUGGGUGGAAAGGGUUUUUCUGGUGGGGGAUGGGCUCGCGGCCUAUCAGCUUGUUGGUGGGGUGAUGGCCUACCAAGGCUUUGACGGGUAGCCGGCCUGAGAGGGUGACCGGUCACAUUGGGACUGAGAUACGGCCCAGACUCCUACGGGGGGCAGCAGUGGGGAAUAUUGCACAAUGGGCGCAAGCCUGAUGCAGCGACGCCGCGUGAGGGAUGGAGGCCUUCGGGUUGUGAACCUCUUUCGCUCAUGGUCAAGCCGCAACAAUGGUUGUGGUGAGGGUAGUGGGUAAAGAAGCGCCGGCUAACUACGUG
RNAcentral lists this ribosomal RNA (483 nucleotides) under uncultured bacterium. RNAcentral describes it as "partial 16S ribosomal RNA". It matches the Rfam family "Bacterial small subunit ribosomal RNA", at positions 28 to 507 of the family's 1533-position model. The record is from RNAcentral.